This 512-nucleotide ribosomal RNA is filed under the name uncultured bacterium. RNAcentral describes it as "partial 16S ribosomal RNA". It matches the Rfam family "Bacterial small subunit ribosomal RNA", at positions 28 to 523 of the family's 1533-position model. The record is from RNAcentral.
GAUGAACGCUGGCGGCAUGCCUAAUACAUGCAAGUCGAACGAGAGGAAGGAAAGCUUGCUUUUCUGAAUCUAGUGGCGAACGGGUGAGUAACGCGUAGGUAACCUGCCCAUGUGCCCGGGAUAACUUCUGGAAACGGAUGCUAAAACCGGAUAGGUAGCAGACAAGCAUUUGACUGCUAUUAAAGUGGCUAAGGCCAUGAACAUGGAUGGACGGGCGGUGCAUUAGCUAGUUGGUGAGGUAACGGCCCACCAAGGCGACGAUGCAUAGCCGGCCGGGGAGGGCGGACGGCCACAUUGGGACUGAGACACGGCCCAAACUCCUACGGGAGGCAGCAGUAGGGAAUUUUCGUCAAUGGGGGGAACCCUGAACGAGCAAUGCCGCGUGAGUGAGGAAGGUCUUCGGAUCGUAAAGCUCUGUUGUAAGAGAAAAACGACAUUCAUAGGGAAUGAUGAGUGAGUGAUGGUAUCUUACCAGAAAGUCACGGCUAACUACGUGCCAGCAGCCGCCGUAA